UGUUGUUUUUCUGAAAAUCAAUUUAAGAACUGUUCAUUUUUAGUUGUUAAGACUUUAUCGGCUUACUGCUAUUUUUUGGGCUUUUCUUGAAUGCACUUUUCAGUUAACAAGUCAACAUCAAUUUCUUUUGUUGUAAAACGGUAAAAGGAAGGUGGCUUUAUCUUCGGAUGAAGUGUUUAUAGCCUUUUACUUCUGCAAUCGGAGAGAUUGAGGUCUGCAGCGUAGAUCCUUCGGGGUUAGAUACUUCUAUGCUAAGCUAUAGUCCUAUAUAGACAACUUGUUGACUAUGUUCGAUCCUGUAACUUACUCGUAGAUACUAUUUUACCUAC
Molecule: ribosomal RNA, 329 nt
Filed under: Neocallimastigales sp.
Lineage: Eukaryota; Fungi; Neocallimastigomycota; Neocallimastigomycetes; Neocallimastigales
Description: partial large subunit ribosomal RNA
Source: RNAcentral